GGAGGAAUGGCCGAGCGGUCGAAGGCGGCGGUCUUGAAAACCGUUAGUGGGGCGACUCACUCGGGGGUUCGAAUCCCUCUUCCUCCGCCA
RNAcentral lists this transfer RNA (90 nucleotides) under Terriglobia bacterium. Its description in RNAcentral is "tRNA-Ser". It matches the Rfam family "tRNA". Rfam says of the family: Transfer RNA (tRNA) molecules are approximately 80 nucleotides in length. Their secondary structure includes four short double-helical elements and three loops (D, anti-codon, and T loops). Further hydrogen bonds mediate the characteristic L-shaped molecular structure. tRNAs have two regions of fundamental functional importance: the anti-codon, which is responsible for specific mRNA codon recognition, and the 3' end, to which the tRNAs corresponding amino acid is attached (by aminoacyl-tRNA synthetases). tRNAs cope with the degeneracy of the genetic code in two manners: having more than one tRNA (with a specific anti-codon) for a particular amino acid; and 'wobble' base-pairing, i.e. permitting non-standard base-pairing at the 3rd anti-codon position. The record is from RNAcentral. RNAcentral also lists the same sequence under 1 other name. Lineage: Bacteria; Pseudomonadati; Acidobacteriota; Terriglobia.